AUGAACGCUGGCGGCGUGCCUAAUACAUGCAAGUCGAGCGAACAGACGAGGAGCUUGCUCCUCUGACGUUAGCGGCGGACGGGUGAGUAACACGUGGAUAACCUACCUAUAAGACUGGGAUAAUUUCGGGAAACCGGAGCUAAUACCGGAUAAUAUAUUGAACCGCAUGGUUCAAUAGUGAAAGACGGUUUUGCUGUCACUUAUAGAUGGAUCCGCGCCGCAUUAGCUAGUUGGUAAGGUAACGGCUUACCAAGGCAACGAUGCGUAGCCGACCUGAGAGGGUGAUCGGCCACACUGGAACUGAGACACGGUCCAGACUCCUACGGGAGGCAGCAGUAGGGAAUCUUCCGCAAUGGGCGAAAGCCUGACGGAGCAACGCCGCGUGAGUGAUGAAGGUCUUCGGAUCGUAAAACUCUGUUAUUAGGGAAGAACAAAUGUGUAAGUAACUAUGCACGUCUUGACGGUACCUAAUCAGAAAGCCACGGCUAACUACGUG
RNAcentral lists this ribosomal RNA (496 nucleotides) under uncultured bacterium. RNAcentral's name for it is "partial 16S ribosomal RNA". It matches the Rfam family "Bacterial small subunit ribosomal RNA", at positions 29 to 507 of the family's 1533-position model. The record is from RNAcentral.